This 465-nucleotide ribosomal RNA is filed under the name uncultured bacterium. RNAcentral's name for it is "bacterial SSU rRNA". It matches the Rfam family "Bacterial small subunit ribosomal RNA", at positions 338 to 795 of the family's 1533-position model. The record is from RNAcentral.
CCUACGGGAUGCACCAGUGGGGAAUAUUGCACAAUGGGCGCAAGCCUGAUGCAGCCAUGCCGCGUCUAUGAAGAAGGCCUUCGGGUUGUAAAGUACUUUCAGCGGGGAGGAAGGUGUCGUGGUUAAUAACCACAGCAAUUGACGUUACCCGCAGAAGACGCACCGGCUAACUCCGUGCCAGCAGCCGCGGUAAUACGGAGGGUGCAAGCGUUAAUCGGAAUUACUGGGCGUAAAGCGCACGCAGGCGGUCUGUCCAGUCGGAUGUGAAAUCCCCGGGCUCAACCUGGGAACUGCAUUCGAAACUGGCAGGCUAGAGUCUCGUAGAGGGGGGUAGAAUUCCAGGUGUAGCGGUGAAAUGCGUAGAGAUCUGGAGGAAUACCGGUGGCGAAGGCGGCCCCCUGGACAAAGACUGACGCUCAGGUGCGAAAGCGUGGGGAGCAAACAGGAUUAGAUACCCGGGUAGUC